GUGGGUAGAGCUCAGAGGUAGAGCGCAUGACUAGCAUGCACAAGGUCCUGGGUUCAAUUCCCCAGUAUCUCCA
RNAcentral lists this transfer RNA (73 nucleotides) under Camelus ferus (Wild Bactrian camel). It matches the Rfam family "tRNA". From Rfam's summary of the family: Transfer RNA (tRNA) molecules are approximately 80 nucleotides in length. The record is from Rfam by way of RNAcentral. Lineage: Eukaryota; Metazoa; Chordata; Mammalia; Artiodactyla; Camelidae.